GGCGGUCCGCCGCCCGCGACGACACGAGAAGUCCACUGAACCUUAUCAUUUAGAGGAAGGAGAAGUCGUAACAAGGUUUCCGUAGGUGAACCUGCGGAAGGAUCAUUGUCGCAGCUCCGUCGAAGGACGCACCCGCAAACGGUUGACUCCCACCCUUCAUUCCCAUCCACCCCCCUGCACCCGGGGCGGAGGUCCUCAAGAUUUUGAUCGGUUUCUCGGCUCGGAUGCGCCUCCGCCCCUCCCCGCGCGUCGGCCUCGUCGGCGGCCACGGGGCGGGGGGACAACCAACCUCCCGGCGCGGCAUGCGCCAAGGACCAGCGAACGGGGACCCGCCUGCGCACGCGCCCCGCUCCGAGCGGGGAGCCACGCGGUGUCGGUCGCCCCCAACGGAACGGAUGAGUCACCGAACGACUCCCGGCAACGGAUAUCUAGGCUCUCGCAUCGAUGAAGAACGUAGCGAAAUGCGAUACGUGGUGUGAAUUGCAGAAUCCCGUGAACCAUCGAAUCUUCGAACGCAAGUUGCGCCCGAGGCCGUCGGGUCGAGGGCACGCCUGCCUGGGCGUCACGCCCCGCGUCGCUCCCCGCCCCCCGCGCGCCUGCCGAGGGUGAGGAUGUGGAGAUUGGCCUGCCGUGCUCCGGCGCGGCCGGCUGAAGGACCUCGGCCCUCCCGUGGGGCGAGCACGGCGAGCGGUGGACGAAUUCGGCGCCAUGCGCACCGAUCUGCGGGCCAUACCGUAUGCCCUCAUCCUUGUCGUCUUGUCGCUCACUCGUCGCGAGGCGGAAGGAAAGGAACCCAUCCGCGAGCCGACGCGCGUCGUCGGUCGGAUCGCGACCCCAGGUCAGGCGGGGCCACCCGCCGAGUUUAAGCAUAUAAAUAAGCGGAGGAAAAGAA
This 892-nucleotide ribosomal RNA is filed under the name Thaumatophyllum solimoesense. Its description in RNAcentral is "eukaryotic LSU rRNA". The stretch from base 410 to 565 matches the Rfam family "5.8S ribosomal RNA". The record is from RNAcentral. Lineage: Eukaryota; Viridiplantae; Streptophyta; Magnoliopsida; Alismatales; Araceae.